GACGAACGCUGGCGGCGUGCUUAACACAUGCAAGUCGUACGGUAAGGCCCUUUCGGGGGUACACGAGUGGCGAACGGGUGAGUAACACGUGAGUAACCUGCCCACAACUUUGGGAUAACGCUAGGAAACUGGUGCUAAUACUGGAUAUGUGCUCCUGCUGCAUGGUGGGGGUUGGAAAGCUCCGGCGGUUGUGGAUGGACUCGCGGCCUAUCAGCUUGUUGGUGGGGUAGUGGCCUACCAAGGCGGCGACGGGUAGCCGGCCUGAGAGGGUGACCGUCCACAUUGGGACUGAGAUACGGCCCAGACUCCUACGGGAGGCAGCAGUGGGGAAUAUUGCACAAUGGGCGCAAGCCUGAUGCAGCAACGCCGCGUGCGGGAUGACGGCCCUCGGGUUGUAAACCGCUUUCAGCAGGGACGAAGCUUUUUGUGACGGUACCUGCAGAAGAAGCACCGGCUAACUACGUG
This 465-nucleotide ribosomal RNA is filed under the name uncultured bacterium. RNAcentral describes it as "partial 16S ribosomal RNA". It matches the Rfam family "Bacterial small subunit ribosomal RNA", at positions 28 to 507 of the family's 1533-position model. The record is from RNAcentral.